UGAGGAAUAUUGGUCAAUGGGCGGGAGCCUGAACCAGCCAAGUCGCGUGAAGGAAGAAGGAUCUAUGGUUCGUAAACUUCUUUUGCAGGGGAAUAAAGUGCAGGACGUGUCCUGUUUUGUAUGUACCCUGAGAAUAAGGAUCGGCUAACUCCGUGCCAGCAGCCGCGGUAAUACGGAGGAUCCGAGCGUUAUCCGGAUUUAUUGGGUUUAAAGGGCGCGUAGGUGGUUUGAUAAGUCAGCGGUGAAAGUUUGCAGCUUAACUGUAAAAAUGCCGUUGAAACUGUCGGACUUGAGUGUAAAUGAGGUAGGCGGAAUGCGUGGUGUAGCGGUGAAAUGCACAGAUAUCACGCAGAACUCCGAUUGCGAAGGCAGCUUACUAAGCUACAACUGACACUGAAGCACGAAAGCGUGGGGAUCAAACA
RNAcentral lists this ribosomal RNA (422 nucleotides) under uncultured bacterium. RNAcentral's name for it is "bacterial SSU rRNA". It matches the Rfam family "Bacterial small subunit ribosomal RNA", at positions 355 to 774 of the family's 1533-position model. The record is from RNAcentral.